This 105-nucleotide small nuclear RNA is filed under the name Dasypus novemcinctus (nine-banded armadillo). The record is from RNAcentral. Lineage: Eukaryota; Metazoa; Chordata; Mammalia; Cingulata; Dasypodidae.
GUGCUCACUUUAGCAGCACAUAUACUAAAAUUGGAAUGAUAGGGAAGAUUAGCAUGGCCCCUGCACAAAGAUGAUGCACAAAUUUGUGAAACAUUCCAUAUUUUU